Molecule: non-coding RNA, 63 nt
Organism: Rattus norvegicus (Norway rat)
Lineage: Eukaryota; Metazoa; Chordata; Mammalia; Rodentia; Muridae
Source: Rfam
GGGGAUUUAGCUCAGUGGUAGAGCGCUUGCCUAGCAAGCGCAAGGCCCUAGGUUCAGUCCCCA